Molecule: long non-coding RNA, 778 nt
Filed under: Cavia porcellus (domestic guinea pig)
Lineage: Eukaryota; Metazoa; Chordata; Mammalia; Rodentia; Caviidae
Description: lncRNA (ENSCPOG00000037325.1)
Source: RNAcentral
GGAUGAGGGACGGUGUCCCCACCCCAUGAUCUGCGUGCGGCGGCAGGACACCCUUCGCCUCUUCGCUUCUCUCUCGCCCCUCUCAGCUGCGCGCGCUCCGGGGCUGCCGGCGGGGCUCGGCCCUUGGGGGCGGGGUGGGGGCACGGCGGCCGGGAGUGUUUUUCAGUUCCGCCUCCAAUCGCCCAGUACCCUUUUCCCUUCGCAGCCUCCUCCAAUCCCAUCGGAAGAGGAAGGAACAAAAGGUCCCGGGCCCCCCGGAUCUGACGGGGCGGGACCUGGCGCCUGGGUGCAGGAGAUGCACUUAAAACCUACCAUGCCCAUGAUUCUGGAUUCUGUCUCCAGUGCUGUAAACCAAACCAACCAGACAAAUAAUGAAACAAAGUAAAACAAGAACCCAGAAAGGCUCAGAGAAAAAUGGUAGGAAAAGAAGUACCGUUGAAAUGGUGACUAAAAGAAAGAAGCUAUAAUUAUAGUAAUUGGACAAAGACUGUAAUAGAAGUAAAGUAGAAAAAGAGUUACAUUUUGUAAUAUAAAGGAAUUGAUCUUCCGGACUUGCCAUAGUUCUAGAUCUAUACCAAGUAACAUACUUUGAACAACUAUUCAAACUUUUUGGUUUUGCACUGAAAAGAGAAAGACCAGUAUGCAGUGACAUACUUGUGAGAACUUUUAGUGUUUCUCAAAAGUUGAUAAACUGAGCAGUGUAUAGAAGAUAUGUAUAUUAAAGUUAAGACUUAAUUGAAUUGUCAUACAGUAAAUAUUGAAACAGUUAAUGAUGGAA